This 257-nucleotide ribosomal RNA is filed under the name uncultured bacterium. RNAcentral describes it as "partial 16S ribosomal RNA". It matches the Rfam family "Bacterial small subunit ribosomal RNA", at positions 524 to 776 of the family's 1533-position model. The record is from RNAcentral.
GACGAAGGAUGCAAGCGUUAUCCGGAUUCAUUGGGUUUAAAGGGAGCGUAGGUGGCCUUAUAAGUCAGUGGUGAAAUCUCUGGGCUUAACCCAGAAAUUGCCAUUGAUACUGUAGGGCUUGAGUAUAGAUGCCGUUGGCGGAAUAUGACAUGUACUCUGGAGUAGAAUCCUAACAUAUGUGAAGGAACACCGAGUGGCGAAGGCACCUUUCUAGUUUCAUCAGACGCUAGGGUACGGAAGCUUAGGUAUCAAACAGG